Molecule: ribosomal RNA, 498 nt
Filed under: uncultured bacterium
Lineage: Bacteria
Description: partial 16S ribosomal RNA
Rfam family: Bacterial small subunit ribosomal RNA
Source: RNAcentral
GAUGAACGCUGGCGGCGUGCCUAAUACAUGCAAGUCGAGCGAACUUUUGGGAGCUUGCUCCCACAAGUUAGCGCCGGACGGGUGAGUAACACGUGGGGAAACUGCCUGUAAGACUCGGAUAACACUGGGAGACCCGAGAUAAUAUCGGAUAACAUUUAAGAACACAUAUCCUUCAACUAAAAGGUAGCUUUUAGCUACCACUUACAGAUGGAUCCGCGGCGCAUUAGCUAGUUGGUGAGGUAACGGCUCACCAAGGCGACGAUGCGUAGCCGACCUGAGAGGGUGGUCGGCCAAACUUGGACUGGGGAACGGCUCAGACUCCUACGGGAGGGAGCAGUAGGGAAUCUUCCGCAAUGGAGGAAAGUCUGACGGGGCAACGCCGCGUGAGCGAAGAAGGCCUUCGGGUCGGAAAGCUCUGUUGUUAGGGAAGAACAAAUAGCGUUCGAAUAGGGCGGUACCUUGACGGUACCUAACCAGAAAGCCACGGCUAACUACGUG